This 773-nucleotide ribosomal RNA is filed under the name Lacticaseibacillus zeae. Its description in RNAcentral is "bacterial SSU rRNA". It matches the Rfam family "Bacterial small subunit ribosomal RNA", at positions 58 to 804 of the family's 1533-position model. The record is from RNAcentral. Lineage: Bacteria; Bacillati; Bacillota; Bacilli; Lactobacillales; Lactobacillaceae.
CGAGUUUUGGUCGAUGAACGGUGCUUGCAUCGUGAUUCAACUUAAAACGAGUGGCGGACGGGUGAGUAACACGUGGGUAACCUGCCCUUAAGUGGGGGAUAACAUUUGGAAACAGAUGCUAAUACCGCAUAAAUCCAAGAACCGCAUGGUUCUUGGCUGAAAGAUGGCGUAAGCUAUCGCUUUUGGAUGGACCCGCGGCGUAUUAGCUAGUUGGUGAGGUAACGGCUCACCAAGGCGAUGAUACGUAGCCGAACUGAGAGGUUGAUCGGCCACAUUGGGACUGAGACACGGCCCAAACUCCUACGGGAGGCAGCAGUAGGGAAUCUUCCACAAUGGACGCAAGUCUGAUGGAGCAACGCCGCGUGAGUGAAGAAGGCUUUCGGGUCGUAAAACUCUGUUGUUGGAGAAGAAUGGUCGGCAGAGUAACUGUUGUCGGCGUGACGGUAUCCAACCAGAAAGCCACGGCUAACUACGUGCCAGCAGCCGCGGUAAUACGUAGGUGGCAAGCGUUAUCCGGAUUUAUUGGGCGUAAAGCGAGCGCAGGCGGUUUUUUAAGUCUGAUGUGAAAGCCCUCGGCUUAACCGAGGAAGCGCAUCGGAAACUGGGAAACUUGAGUGCAGAAGAGGACAGUGGAACUCCAUGUGUAGCGGUGAAAUGCGUAGAUAUAUGGAAGAACACCAGUGGCGAAGGCGGCUGUCUGGUCUGUAACUGACGCUGAGGCUCGAAAGCAUGGGUAGCGAACAGGAUUAGAUACCCUGGUAGUCCAUGCCGUA